CCUACGGGAGGCAGCAGUGGGGGAUAUUGCACAAUGGGGGGAACCCUGAUGCAGCGACGCCGCGUGGGUGAAGGAGUGCUUCGGCAUGUAAAGCACUAUCGGAAGGGAAGAAGCAAGACGGUACCUGACUAAGAAGCCCCGGCUCACUACGUGCCAGCAGCCGCGGGAAUACGUAGGGGGCGAGCGUUAUACGGAUUCACGGGGUGGAAAGGGAGCGUAGACGGCCAUGCAAGCCAGGUGUGAAAGCCCGGGGCCCAACCCCGGGACUGCCCUUGGAACUGCAUGGCUGGCGUGCGGGAGGGGCAGGCGGAAUUCCUAGUGUAGCGGUGAAAUGCGGAGAUAUCAGGAGGAACCCCAGCGGCGAAGGCGGCCUGCUGGACCGCGACUGACGGUGAGGCGCGAAAGCGUGGGGAGCGAACAGGAUUAGAUACCCCAGUAGUC
This 441-nucleotide ribosomal RNA is filed under the name uncultured bacterium. Its description in RNAcentral is "partial 16S ribosomal RNA". It matches the Rfam family "Bacterial small subunit ribosomal RNA", at positions 338 to 795 of the family's 1533-position model. The record is from RNAcentral.